This 497-nucleotide ribosomal RNA is filed under the name uncultured bacterium. RNAcentral's name for it is "partial 16S ribosomal RNA". It matches the Rfam family "Bacterial small subunit ribosomal RNA", at positions 28 to 507 of the family's 1533-position model. The record is from RNAcentral.
GAUGAACGCUGGCGGCGUGCCUAAUACAUGCAAGUCGAGCGAACAGACGAGGAGCUUGCUCCUCUGACGUUAGCGGCGGACGGGUGAGUAACACGUGGAUAACCUACCUAUAAGACUGGGAUAACUUCGCGAAACCGGAGCUAAUACCGGAUAAUAUAUUGAACCGCAUGGUUCAAUAGUGAAAGACGGUUUUGCUGUCACUUAUAGAUGGAUCCGCGCCGCAUUAGCUAGUUGGUAAGGUAACGGCUUACCAAGGCGACGAUGCGUAGCCGACCUGAGAGGGUGAUCGGCCACACUGGAACUGAGACACGGUCCAGACUCCUACGGGAGGCAGCAGUAGGGAAUCUUCCGCAAUGGGCGAAAGCCUGACGGAGCAACGCCGCGUGAGUGAUGAAGGUCUUCGGAUCGUAAAACUCUGUUAUUAGGGAAGAACAAAUGUGUAAGUAACUAUGCACGUCUUGACGGUACCUAAUCAGAAAGCCACGGCUAACCACGUG